UAUCUUCAGCGCAACAGCGCCGUCUACCUUCUCCUCUGUCUAGUUAGAGCUGGUCGAGUUGAUUAGAGCUUAUAAAACCAUCAUAUGGGGGAAAUGAAAGACUCUUUAAUGGAGGUGUAGGAUACGACAGAGGAGAAGGUUGCGGUAAAGGAGAACGGUCCGAAUACGGUCUCGAAGAUUCAGAUUUUUAAGCUGAAGGCUGGUUUCCUAUUCAGGCCAUCAUAUUCAAUUCCAUUUUGACGGGCUCCCUCUGGUUAGUGGAAAUUCAAAGGCAGACCUAGCUACUAAUCUUAUAUGCAAAGCUGGUGACAUUGAUCAAGUUCGAGAAGAUGGGUCUCUAAUGUCAUGGUGUUUGGAGAAGGCCACCCACAAGGUGGAGUUUAAGUAGACUAGUAGGAAUUAGAAACAGCUUUUAUGCAUAGACAAAGAACUGAUCAAUUAUGGCCUAGGCAUGUGCUUACUCAAUGUUAUGGUUAUCUAAAGCCAACUAUCUAUGGACAAUGUGUAUUUGGGUUCAAAUGCAAUGAGAAUUAUAUUUUGUUG
This is a long non-coding RNA of Argentina anserina (silverweed cinquefoil), 543 nucleotides long. RefSeq lists it as uncharacterized. The transcript is spliced from 2 exons. NCBI's taxonomy places the organism in Eukaryota, Viridiplantae, Streptophyta, Magnoliopsida, Rosales, Rosaceae. The record is from RefSeq and is a predicted model, not a curated record.